AUGCUUCUCGCCGUCAUCGCCGUCGUCCUGCUCCUGCUGCCGCAGGCCAUGCCGUUCGAGGCCUCCUCCUGCGACGGCAGCACCUACGCGCCCAACAGCCCUUUCCAGGCGAGCCUCAACCUCGUCGCCGCGGCGCUCCCCGGCAACGCCUCCUCCAUGCCGUCCGGCUUUGCCACCGCCGACGCCGGCACGUCUCCCACCCGGGCCUACGCCAUGGCGCUCUGCCGCGGCGACGUCAACGCCUCCACCUGCGCCGCCUGCGUGGCCGCCGCGUUCCGUGCCGCCGGCGCGCAGGACAACUGCCCCAACAACACGGGCGCCACCAUGUACGAGGACGCCUGCGUCCUUCGGUUCUCCACCGUGCAGUUCCUCGACUUCCUCAGGGCCGACCAGUGGCAGCCCGGAGAGCUUACUUUUCAAAUUGCCCCGGCGUCUUCGAAUGUCGGGUCAGCACAGGGAGCAUGGUUCAGCGCCGCCGCCACGUCCAUCCUCACCGCGGUGGUCGACCACGCAUUGGCCGCGGCGGGCAACUCGACGACCGCCAAGAAGUACUUCGCCACGGGCGAGGUGGACUUCCAGCCCAGGAUCUACGCGCUCGCGCAGUGCCUCCCGGAGAUGACGCCGUCACAGUGCCAGAGCUGCCUCGGGACCCUCCUCGUGCAAACAACACCCAUGCUCAGCACCAAGCCCCGAUGGAUCAUGGCUUUAGUGGCCUGGUGCAACCUGAGGUACAGCGUGCGGCCGUUCUACGAGGGCUGGUCGAUGCUGCGGCUCCCGGCGCCACCACCGCCAGCAGUCGUGCCGCCAUCUGUAACUCCAAAGUCUGGAGGAACAGGGAAGAAAAUGAGUGUAGCAGGAAUCUCCGUGGGCAUUGUUUGUUCCGUCCUCUUGCUAUUUGUUCUUUCGGUUUUUGCUUUCGUUCGAUUCAAGAGAAGGACUACUAAGCAUUCAGAAGACGACCACCCAUUCAAGAAAAUUGUGGGAGCACAAUGCAUGAUCUUUGAUUUAUCGGCGCUGCAAGAGGCAACUGAAAGCUUCUCGGAAAAGAAUAAGCUCGGAGAAGGUGGUUUUGGCAUUGUGUACAAGGGGAUACUAGCAGAUGGGCAGGAAAUAGCAGUGAAGAAGCUUUUGGGAGGAACCGGGAGCGGUUUGCAUCAGCUGCACAAUGAGGUGCAGCUAUUGGCAGAGCUGCAGCACAAGAACCUUGUUAGAUUACAGGGGUUUUGCUCGCAUCGGGAUGAUACGCUGCUCGUUUAUGAAUAUAUCAAGAAUGGGAGCCUCGACAACUUUCUAUUCGAAACCAGUGAGGAAAACACACUGAGCUGGGCGCAACAGCACAACAUCAUUCUUGGGAUUGCCAAGGGAAUUUUGUAUCUUCACGAGGAUUCAAGCAUGAGGAUCAUCCACCGGGACCUGAAACCUAACAACAUUCUCGUUGACGACGGCAUGAAUCCGAAAAUCGCAGACUUUGGACUUGCAAGGCUGCUAGGAGAAGGUCAUACUCAUACUAAGACAGCUAGAGCUGUUGGAACACUAGGUUACAUGGCACCCGAGUAUGCAAUACACGGACGCGUGUCGCCCAAGAUCGAUAUUUUCAGCUUCGGUGUCUUGGUCCUCGAAAUUGUUACUGGGAGACGGAACAGCAGUUCUGAUGAUCGCGAUGAAGUGAAUCUUAUUAGUGAUGUGUGGAACUGCUGGACCAAAGGGACGAUAUCGCAGAUGAUAGACCGAUCGCUGGAUGAACACGCUCGAAGCCAGGCUUUACGAUGUAUCCACAUCGGGUUGAUGUGCGUCCAGUCGGACCCUAUCGACAGGCCUUACAUAUCAUCCGUCAUUUUCAUGUUAACCAGGGACAACACGGAGAUUCAAGCACCCGCGCAACCUGCAUUCUUCUUUGGGAGAGAAGCGGCUUUAGCUUCUCCGGCAUAUGACCGAUCUGAUUUCAUCCUGGGACAGGAUGUCUCUGUGAAUGCGGUUACAAUUACUGAGCCGUAUCCUAGGUAG
This 2004-nucleotide ribosomal RNA is filed under the name Triticum aestivum (bread wheat). RNAcentral's name for it is "partial small subunit ribosomal RNA". Lineage: Eukaryota; Viridiplantae; Streptophyta; Magnoliopsida; Poales; Poaceae. The record is from RNAcentral.